UCAGAGAAAGAGUUCGACCUCUAUCAUUAAUCUCCAAAAUUAAUAUUUUAAUAAACUAUUCUCUG
RNAcentral lists this transfer RNA (65 nucleotides) under Popillia mutans. Its description in RNAcentral is "tRNA-Pro". Lineage: Eukaryota; Metazoa; Arthropoda; Insecta; Coleoptera; Scarabaeidae. The record is from RNAcentral.